This 217-nucleotide long non-coding RNA is filed under the name Mytilus galloprovincialis (Mediterranean mussel). The record is from RNAcentral. Lineage: Eukaryota; Metazoa; Mollusca; Bivalvia; Mytilida; Mytilidae.
CUCUGGUCAUCAUAUAAUGGACAAUUUACUGUAAAAUGGGUCUCAUCUUCAAUAGAAUUUGAUCCAUGUGAUAAGCAGUGAUGACAUAGUCGUUGAGUUCUCUCUUUGAUUUUUUACUAUAUCUAUCUUUCUCAAUUCUAAGAUCAUGAGCACUUAUUCUCAUUUUACAUAUAGCUCUUCUUAUACUAAAAUCUUUAAUUGAUAAAUAAGACUCCUU